Bombus impatiens (common eastern bumble bee) is the source of this 236-nucleotide long non-coding RNA. RefSeq lists it as uncharacterized. NCBI's taxonomy places the organism in Eukaryota, Metazoa, Arthropoda, Insecta, Hymenoptera, Apidae. The record is from RefSeq and is a predicted model, not a curated record. The transcript is spliced from 2 exons.
UCCCGUCCUAAAUUAAGGGACACCCCGAUAUGGUAUACACACAACAAACAAACAAGCGCAAGCAUCACAUAACAUUCGUCCGUAAAAAAAGCUUUCUUAAAUGAACACGCCGAGAAUGUACUUGUUCCGUUUCAUCGUAUCAAACAUUCGUACACGUAAUCGUGGUGCACAAGGAGCAGACAUCGCAUACACGUGGAAACGAUGUAUCUUUUUUCGAAUAUUUAAAAAGUAAUUUU